Ixodes scapularis (black-legged tick) is the source of this 272-nucleotide long non-coding RNA. RefSeq lists it as uncharacterized. The transcript is spliced from 3 exons. The record is from RefSeq and is a predicted model, not a curated record. NCBI's taxonomy places the organism in Eukaryota, Metazoa, Arthropoda, Arachnida, Ixodida, Ixodidae.
CUCAGCGCAGUCGGGCAACACUGACGUACACUCUCAAAACCAGGGACACGCGCUGUAAAUCGCUUCGUUCGAGACUGCCGCUGGAAAGGUCUUCAAGCCCAAGCCAUCUUCAAGACCUGGAUCGGCAGGGACGAAGCAGGCCUCGACCACUGCCGCCGCAGGAUCAUCCGGGAAAGAGAACAGGCCCCCCAAGAGCGCCGUGGCGGGAGCAGCGACGCCCCUGCAGCGAGGAAGUUCGCGUGUGGCUUCGAGGUCCUGCGUGAAGCAACUCU